GCCUGCUGGGCUUUAACUGACGCUGAGGCACGAAAGCGUGGGUAGCAAACAGGAUUAGAUACCCUGGUAGUCCACGCUGUAAACGAUGAUUACUAGGUGUGGGGGGUCUGACCCCUUCCGUGCCGCAGUUAACACAAUAAGUAAUCCACCUGGGGAGUACGGCCGCAAGGUUGAAACUCAAAGGAAUUGACGGGGGCCCGCACAAGCAGUGGAGUAUGUGGUUUAAUUCGAAGCAACGCGAAGAACCUUACCAGGUCUUUACAUCCUAGGAAUCGGCUAGAGAUAGCUGAGUGCCCUUCGGGGAAUCUAGAGACAGGUGGUGCAUGGUUGUCGUCAGCUCGUGUCGUGAGAUGUUGGGUUAAGUCCCGCAACGAGCGCAACCCUUACUGUUAGUUGCUACGCAAGAGCACUCUAGCAGGACUGCCGUUGACAAAACGGAGGAAGGUGGGGAUGACGUCAAAUCAUCAUGCCCCUUAUGUCCUGGGCUACACACGUACUACAAUGGCCGUUAACAGAGGGCAGCGAAAUAGUGAUAUGGAGCAAAUCCCCAAAAACGUCCCAGUUCAGACCGCAUGCUGCAACUCGCCUGCACGAAGGUGG
RNAcentral lists this ribosomal RNA (600 nucleotides) under uncultured bacterium. Its description in RNAcentral is "bacterial SSU rRNA". It matches the Rfam family "Bacterial small subunit ribosomal RNA", at positions 724 to 1329 of the family's 1533-position model. The record is from RNAcentral.